Pipra filicauda (Wire-tailed manakin) is the source of this 449-nucleotide long non-coding RNA. RefSeq lists it as uncharacterized. Lineage: Eukaryota; Metazoa; Chordata; Aves; Passeriformes; Pipridae. The record is from RefSeq and is a predicted model, not a curated record. The transcript is spliced from 2 exons.
AUUGCUAUUAAGAAAUCCUCUAUUUCUAAAUUGUCUUUUCCAUGGCUCUUUCAGAUCCACACCGUGACAAACACACUUUCUGUCCUCAAUUAUUUGGGCUUUUUGUUGAGCAAAGUGUUACCCAACAUCUCUCAAUCUAGCCACAACUAAAAGGUAUACCAGGAGCGAGAAGUGUGUGGGAUAUCAUCUGAAGGCGGGAUAUUUUAUCACCCUAUGCAGCAGGUUGCCUGUGAAUUCAGCAUUCAAGUGACCAAGACACAACAUCAAAUAGAGACCUUCAGGCUAGUUCUUCAUGGAAUGAUACAAAACCCACCCGGACCAAGGAUACACUGAGAAAUCAGUCCAUAUUCUUCCAAACCCCGUCUGAACUGUAUAUAAACCAAAGGCACCUUUUUGACAAUCCUGAUCAGAGUUAAGAAUUUGAAAUAAAGUGAGAUAACAUGAUUUUA